CUUCCCAUCUCCAAGCUAGAAGGCAUCUUACAGGUUAACAGUGAGUCUUUGGAGCGAAAGAAGUCGGAAGAAAGCUAGAUACCGCCUGGCUGUAGAUUAACGGUCCUCAGACUCCGCCCUCCUCCCCGCCCCAGCGCCACCGGCCGUCAGCUGGAUCUUGAUUGGCCGAUGGAGGAGGGAGGCGGAGGCAGAGGGACUCCUCAAAUCUGGGGCCGGACUUCCUCACAUCUGGGGCUGGACUUCCUCACAUCUGGGGCCGGACUUCCUUCUUCUGGGCUUUGGGCCCUCUUCGCAUCCGCGGGGUUUUUGCUCGCUGCUGCCGCGAGGGGUCAAUUCCGAGUGAAGCGCAACACUGCUCCCGAUCUCCUCGCCUAAUCCAAAGCCUGGUUUUAACGCAAGCUGUCAGGAGAAACGGGUUUUCUUCACUAUGAAAUUUCCUCCUCCAGAACUCUUUCUAUACGUCUUACCUGCUUUCUCCCACUGGCGGUCUCAGUCCAAUCCCCGGCUCACUAGUAGUAACGACGGCAUCAGCACAGGACUAGGUGGUUUACUAAUUGCACUCUCGGCGUUUUCUCAUUUGAUACUUGAAAGAGCCAGCCCCUUCCUUCCUCUCCCCCUGCGGUCCUUUCUCGCUGUGCUUUUGCCCUCUCCGCCUUUACAGCCCUCAGCUUACAACAGUCUGGCAGAGGAGCUGAAAGGGUGUUUCGCGGUCUUCCAGCUUCCAGAGCACUUCACCUCGUGUAGCUGCUUCUUUGGGCAGCUGACACUCAUUUUAUUGAACCUCUGGUACAGCUGAUUAUACCUCAUUGAAAUACUCUCUUAACUUCCACAACAUACUCCCCUCGUUUUUCCUACAUAUUGGCUGCUUCAUGUCUGUCUCCUUUGCUAAUCCCUUUCCCUCAACCAGACCUCUCAAUGUGGGAGGACUUUCUUUCUUUUUUCCUAUCUUUUCCAAUCUCAUGGCUUAAUUAUCAGCUACAUGCUGAUUCUCAAUAUUAUAACCCCAGCCUGCCCUUCUCCCCUGAACUCCAGACUGUAUUGCCAUUUGUCCUCCUGAUGAUAUCUCCAUACAGAUGCCUAAAUGGCAUGUUUUUUUUUAAU
Delphinapterus leucas (beluga whale) is the source of this 1101-nucleotide non-coding RNA. The record is from RefSeq and is a predicted model, not a curated record. Lineage: Eukaryota; Metazoa; Chordata; Mammalia; Artiodactyla; Monodontidae.